Molecule: ribosomal RNA, 1016 nt
Filed under: Anaptychia palmatula
Lineage: Eukaryota; Fungi; Ascomycota; Lecanoromycetes; Caliciales; Physciaceae
Description: partial 18S ribosomal RNA
Rfam family: Eukaryotic small subunit ribosomal RNA
Source: RNAcentral
CAGUUAUCGUUUAUUAGAUAGUACCUUACUACAUGGAUAACCGUGGUAAUUCUAGAGCUAAUACAUGCUAAAAGCCUCGACUUCGGGAGAGGCGUAUUUAUUAGAUAAAAAACCAAUGCCCUUCGGGGCUACAAGGUGAUUCAUAAUAACUUAACGAAUCGCAUGGCCUUGCGCCGGCGAUGUUUCUUUCAAAUUUCUGCCCUAUCAACUUUCGAUGGUUGUGUCUUGGACAACCAUGGUUUCUACGGGUAGAUUGCCCGUAACACCUGUCGGAGCCGCUCCCCCGGGUCCUCUGGGGCCCCAGCUCCGGCGACACCGCUGGUUCGGAUAACGCCACACAGGCGAAGUCCGGGGCGAGCCUUUGGGGCCGUCCAAACGUAUGCAUAGCGGUGGGCCUCGUUCAUUGCAGGCUUUAGGAUCAUCCUGCCGCCCCGGCCGUCGCCGGGGCGACCUCGCGAACGGGGAAUUAGGGUUCUAUUCCGGAGAGGGAGCCUGAGAAACGGCUACCACAUCCAAGGAAGGCAGCAGGCGCGCAAAUUACCCAAUCCCGACACGGGGAGGUACGUCUACAACAUCUCUGGAAUAUAGGGGAAGGCUUGCUAACAGGCUUUUUAGGUAGUAACAAUAAAUACUGAUACAGUGCCCUUUCGGGUAUUGUAAUUGGAAUGAGAAAAAUUUAAAUCCCUUAACGAGGAACAAUUGGAGGGCAAGUCUGGUGCCAGCAGCCGCGGUAAUUCCAGCUCCAAUAGCGUAUAUUAAAGUUGUUGCAGUUAAAAAGCUCGUAGUUGAAACUUGGGCCUGGCUGUCCGGUCCGCCUCACCGCGUGCACUGGCUCGGCCGGGCCUUUCCUUCUGGGGAGCCGCAUGCCCUUUAUUGGGUGUGUCGGGGAUCCAGGACUUUUACUUUGAAAAAAUUAGAGUGUUCAAAGCAGGCCUAUGCUCGAAUACAUUAGCAUGGAAUAAUAGAAUAGGACGUGUGGUUCUAUUUUGUUGGUUUCUAGGACCGCCGUAAUGAUU